This is a long non-coding RNA of Hipposideros armiger (great roundleaf bat), 893 nucleotides long. RefSeq lists it as uncharacterized. The transcript has 4 exons. Lineage: Eukaryota; Metazoa; Chordata; Mammalia; Chiroptera; Hipposideridae. The record is from RefSeq and is a predicted model, not a curated record.
CCCAGAGGCCUGCUGCUAAGUGGAGUGCAGGCCCCGUUCCAGCGCCCACCUCUGAGCCUGAGCGGGCGGAGAGGGGCGGGAGGCAGCCGGAAGGCAGGUGCCUUGAAGACCCGCUGCACAGAUGGGGGCCCGGCUCCAAAACAGGCCUGGCUGGCUGGAGAGGUGCGUCCCAGACACCCAGGGGUGAGCUGGCCCGUGAGGGGCAGGCUGGAGACAGAGGUGCCUUGGAAAGCGAGGCCAAAGCACAGGAUUUUAGGACACUUGCCCUCCUCACGGGUGCCACCCCUGACACCUGUGCCAUGGUGGAUGUGCAUGCCAACUCACCCUGGGUUUUCCGUGUGUAUGCGACGUCUGCAUACGGCCGGACUCGUCCACGUAUUUCUGCAGGACAUAGACUCCCAGGGUGACAGUUUUCUCAUCACACCCCAUCAAGCUUCCAAGUUGUCGAGGUGUUUAUAGCUCACUUCAUUUUCCUGACUCCUGCGCAGGCUGUCUCAUCGUCAUGGCAACGUGCUGCUGCCUGAGUCUGUGAGGAACGCUCCUGCUGGUCCACUCCAGGCCCGCCAUAGCUCCCCUCUUUUGGGGUACCAAAAUGUCCAUCCCUUCUGACCUUAUGAAGAGUCAACAGGUUUUCAGUUGUUUUAUUUUUUAAAAAAGAAACUGAAGUUUAUUAACAUUAUUUUCAACAUUUGUUGAGAUAAUCAUGAGGUCUUCCUCCUUUUGUUAAUGUAGAGCAUUUUAUUAAUUCCCAAACUCCUUCCUCCUUGGGAUACAAUUUUCUUGUGUUUAUAUAUAACUUCAUUUAUUCAGUACAUUCACUGAGCACCUACUGUGUGCCAGGCACCUUCCCAGAUCCUAGAAAAGCAGUGAAGCAGACAGAGCCCCUGCUCUCC